RNAcentral lists this ribosomal RNA (502 nucleotides) under uncultured Glomeromycotina. RNAcentral's name for it is "partial small subunit ribosomal RNA". It matches the Rfam family "Eukaryotic small subunit ribosomal RNA", at positions 591 to 1092 of the family's 1831-position model. The record is from RNAcentral. Lineage: Eukaryota; Fungi; Glomeromycota.
CCAAUAGCGUAUAUUAAAGUUGUUGCAGUUAAAAAGCUCGUAGUUGAAUUUCGGAAUCUGUCCAUCGGUCGGGCUUCACUGUCCGUACUGGUGUGGUGGGUUCUUACCUUCUGAAUAACCAGCAUGCCAUUCACUUGGUGCGUUGGGGAAGCAGGACUAUUACCUUGAAAAAAUUGGAGUGCUCAAAGCAGGCUAGUGCCUGAAUACAUUAGCAUGGAAUAAUAAAAUAGGACGGCAUGGUUCUAUUUUGUUGGUUUCUAGGAUCACCGUAAUGAUUAAUAGGGAUAGUUGGGGGCAUUAGUAUUCAAUUGUCAGAGGUGAAAUUCUUGGAUUUAUUGAAGACUAACUUCUGCGAAAGCAUUUGCCAAGGAUGUUUUCAUUAAUCAAGAACGAAAGUUAGGGGAUCGAAGACGAUCAGAUACCGUCGUAGUCUUAACCAUAAACUAUGCCGACUAGGGAUCGGACGAUGUUAAUUUUUUAAUGACUCGUUCGGCGCCUUACG